GCGCUACCUGAGCCGGUGCCGUUUGGGGCUGACCCGCCCGCCGGGCGGGAGGUUGCGCGAGCGCUUUCUCGGGAGAUAGUCAACCGCCGGCCUGCCGGCAGGAGGGGACGAAGAGACCGAGUAGUAAACGGAAAAGACGUUAAAAACCAAGGGGCCAUGUGUGAAAGUGAUCACCGCCGGCCGCGCUCCUCUGGCUGUUACACUCAACCGGCUCAGCUGGUCUCCCGCUCCCCCCAGGGGCGGGCAAAAGCUGAGUGGAGGAUGCGGGCAUCGAUCCCGCUACCUCUCGCAUGCUAAGCGAGCGCUCUACCAUUUGAGCUAAUCCCCCGGCUGUGGCUGCCUCCCUUCCAGUUACCUUACACGUUGUUACAAGAUGUCUGCUGACCAAUGAAGAACCAAAAUUCAGGACAUUUAUUUAGAACCAGAGUAUGAGAGAACCAUAGGCGAAGUUUUAAAAGGCAGAAAUAACUACACGUAAGCAAUAGUAAAGAAAUUAAAACACCUAAAAUAUCUGCAUUUAACCCACAAGAGAGUACUUACACUAUACGUAUCCCGACCAGUUUGCAUAUGUUUUACAGAACGUCGGUAGUGCUCAGGAAUUCAGUCUGCCUUCGAAUAAGUCUCCCACCGUCCAAGGUGGGUGGAGGUUAAAAAGAUUGUACGAAGUCCUUCGAGCCGGAAUCGAACCAGCGACCUAAGGAUUGCCACGGCUCACCCACUACAGUCCUCCGCUCUACCAACUGAGCUAUCGAAGGCCCCGCUGGUGAGGCCGUCCGCAGAUUGCCCUCUAAUGCUUACCGAGGCCUCACUACCCCGGGAUCGCAGAGCUUUCCAGAGCCUGGACUCCACUUUCUAUAGAAGCUCACACGGGCCAAGCCCCUCCAGACCACACGCAACAAGAAAGGCAGAGACGAGUGAGAGCAAAGGACCCACUUCCCAACCCCGGACGGAGGAAACGCGGGCAAUACAUUUCCCUUCCGUUUUCCUGCUUCCCACAAAACAGUGCACCCCCUCCCGCCGCCGCUCCCGGUGGCUUCCGUAGGACUGCGGAGGCCUGGAGACCCCGCUCGCGACCCUGACCUUCUGGGCAGCAGGGCCCAGCGGGGCCGGCACCCUCGCACGCUCUGCAACUGCAACGCGCCAGCCCCGUUCGCCAAGCCGACGGCUUGCUUUUGCUCUUCUUGCUCCCCAUUCCCCUUCGCUUUAUCCGGGGAAGCCAAUAAAACCCUACUGCUCUCGUGGUGGGAAGUACAUUCAUUCAGUCCAUGAACCAACGUUUUGUCGGCUAUUCGUCCCGACUAGGGCAAGAAAGAUACAAACCGCAGAGCUGCUCGAGGUUUGCAGGGCGGCGCGGGAUCCAGCUGCCCCGAAACCCCGCGAGGUGGGACUGGCGGGCGGGGCCCAGAGGGGCCCUGGGCACGGCCACGUCCACCGGCCCCGCCCCUGCCCUGCCCCCUGCUCACACCUUCACUCUUUCCCCGGGCUGCAAAGCCAGCCCACAAUCCUUUGCCCACUAGGAGCUCUGGGGGUUUCAAAACCAGGAACCUUGAAAACGAAAACCCAACUCUUGUGUGAAUCCUUGCUGGGUCGUCAGAUGGGGUGGGUGUGCGGGAAGACCUGACCUCCAUUUCCAGCUCUGCGGCCAGCUGCCUGUGCAACCUGGUGAUGAUUUCAAGCCCCGCACCGGUCCGACAUUUUUUGGGUUCUCGUGAGCUGUGCUUUUAAAUCCGAGGUCUGAUGCCGCUGAGCACAACACCUCUUUGCGCCCACCCACAAAGCAGGAUGGAUGUGUGUAUGAUAUGCUCAAUAAGGAAAUGGAGGCCUUGAUCAACACAGCAACUCGACCUGACAGACAAGGACAUUCCACCCAACAGCAUCAAAACACAUUCUUCUCAAGCACACACGAACAUUCUCCAGGAUAGCUCGCCUUAGGCAAGUCUCAACAAAUUUAAAAAGAUUGAAAUAAUACAAAGUACGAUGAAUGUAAACUACAAACUUUGGAUGACAGUGAUGUGUCAUAGGUUCACUGGCGUUGACAAUGGGUGAGGCUGUGCAAGUGUACGGGCAAGGGCUAUGUCUUUUUUGGCUCAACUUUAAUGAGAAUGUAAAACUGCUCUAAAAAUAAAGUCCAUUAAAAAUUUAGUAACUGGUAUGCUAACACAGUAAAAAAAUUACACCAAGGCAUAUCCAAAAAUGUGUCUGAAUUCAAUUAUUUUAUUCAUAGGCAGAAUAUCCAAUAUUCAAUAAAUAUUCACUCAUACCCUGAACAAUGGAAGCUCCCGUCCCCUCAAAUUUCUUCUGCCUCAAGUGUGGGGCAAUGAAAAAUACCCAGUAAAAUGGAAUAUCACAUGGGGCAAAGCAAAGUCCUUUAUCCCCUCAAGCGCUUUUGGGAGCAGAACCAUGAAGAAAAAUUU
Myotis myotis is the source of this 2414-nucleotide long non-coding RNA. RefSeq lists it as uncharacterized. Lineage: Eukaryota; Metazoa; Chordata; Mammalia; Chiroptera; Vespertilionidae. The record is from RefSeq and is a predicted model, not a curated record. The transcript is spliced from 2 exons.